Molecule: ribosomal RNA, 552 nt
Filed under: uncultured Lachnospiraceae bacterium
Lineage: Bacteria; Bacillati; Bacillota; Clostridia; Lachnospirales; Lachnospiraceae
Description: bacterial SSU rRNA
Rfam family: Bacterial small subunit ribosomal RNA
Source: RNAcentral
GGAAACGAAUGCUAAUACCGCAUAAGACCACAGUGUCGCAUGGCACAGGGGUCAAAGGAUUUAUCCGCUGAAAGAUGGGCUCGCGUCCGAUUAGCUAGAUGGUGAGGUAACGGCCCACCAUGGCAACGAUCGGUAGCCGGACUGAGAGGUUGAACGGCCACAUUGGGACUGAGACACGGCCCAGACUCCUACGGGAGGCAGCAGUGGGGAAUAUUGCACAAUGGGGGAAACCCUGAUGCAGCGACGCCGCGUGGAGGAAGAAGGUCUUCGGAUUGUAAACUCCUGUCCCAGGGGACGAUAAUGACGGUACCCUGGGAGGAAGCACCGGCUAACUACGUGCCAGCAGCCGCGGUAAAACGUAGGGUGCAAGCGUUGUCCGGAAUUACUGGGUGUAAAGGGAGCGCAGGCGGAUUGGCAAGUUGGGAGUGAAAUCUAUGGGCUCAACCCAUAAAUUGCUUUCAAAACUGUCAGUCUUGAGUGGUGUAGAGGUAGGCGGAAUUCCCGGUGUAGCGGUGGAAUGCGUAGAUAUCGGGAGGAACACCAGUGGCGAAG